AGAGUUUGAUCCUGGCUCAGGACGAACGCUGGCGGCGUGCUUAACACAUGCAAGUCGAACGAGACGAAUUAGAAGCUUGCUUUUGACGAGUCGAGUGGCAAACGGGUGAGUAACGCGUAGACAACCUGCCGCAAAGAUGGGGACAACAGUCCGAAAGGACUGCUAAUACCGAAUGCUGUAUCUCCUCCGCAUGGAAGAGAUAUUAAAGAUGGCCUCUACUUGUAAGCUAUCGCUUUGCGAUGGGUCUGCGUCUGAUUAGCUAGUUGGUGGGGCAACGGCCUACCAAGGCGACGAUCAGUAGCCGGUCUGAGAGGAUGAACGGCCACAUUGGAACUGAGACACGGUCCAGACUCCUACGGGAGGCAGCAGUGGGGAAUCUUCCGCAAUGGGCGAAAGCCUGACGGAGCAACGCCGCGUGAGUGAAGAAGGUCUUCGGAUCGUAAAGCUCUGUUGUCGGGGACGAAUGUUGAGGCUUAGAACAUAGGUUUCAAAUGACGGUACCUGACGAGGAAGCCACGGCUAACUACGUGCCAGCAGCCGCGGUAAUACGUNNNGGCGAGCGUUGUCCGGAAUUAUUGGGCGUAAAGGGAGCGCNGCGGGAAGUAAGUCUAUNNNAAAAGUGNNGGGGCUCANCCCGNGGAGGGGAUAGAAACUNNCAUUNNUG
This 664-nucleotide ribosomal RNA is filed under the name uncultured bacterium. Its description in RNAcentral is "partial 16S ribosomal RNA". It matches the Rfam family "Bacterial small subunit ribosomal RNA", at positions 8 to 644 of the family's 1533-position model. The record is from RNAcentral.